Molecule: long non-coding RNA, 10280 nt
Organism: Peromyscus californicus insignis
Lineage: Eukaryota; Metazoa; Chordata; Mammalia; Rodentia; Cricetidae
Exons: 2
Source: RefSeq, a predicted model, not a curated record
ACGUUUUAUUCCAUCAGGUGGUCACAUCGAGGAAAUGAGGAAAUGUAUUUUAAUGAAACAUCUCGCCUUUUGCGGAAGCGUUUGUGUAGAAAGCUAUUUCUCUGUUUCUGAAUGGGCUUCAGUCUUCCAAAUGCUUUCUGUUUAAAUGCAAAAGCCCCUGGGAGACAUAAGUGGAGAUGGGGGAAAAAUAUAUACACUGGGGUAAAAUAAUCCCUGAAGUGCAACACAGGGAAAACAUAAGAAAUGACUCAAGGAAGGGGAAAACUGUGCAUGUCUAAGGGAAGGUAACAGCCAGCUUUGCACCCUGGCCUUACCAGGGCUCUCACUACAAUGCAUUUUCUAUGACCUUUUCUAUUGCUUCUAAUUCCGUAUCAGUUUGGGUAUCUAAGCCAGGAUUCAAAUGAAUAUUUUGAGGUGUGCAAUAUAAUAUGAAAUUUGAAUUUUGGUGAUCGUAAAGUUGUAUUGUCCGAUAAUUAUCAUUUAAAUACUCAGGAUGCAAGCAAGUUGCAUAGUAGAAGGCACCAAUAGAAAUUAUCCAGUAAUCACUACACUUUCCGUAACUGGGAACAAAUUUAUAGGGCUAAAAGGAGGAAAUUCCUUAAGCAAAUAGUUUGUUGUAAUAAUAAGAAGGUCAUCAUCUUGUUCCUGGGUGUUCUAGUAGCUUUCUACUUCAGAGGUAAACGAUCAUGGCCAACGGCAGCUUGGAGAGAAAAGGGUUUAUUUCCUUUUAUAGCUUAGUCUGUCAGAAAGGGAAGUCGUGCAGGCACUCAAGGCAGGGACUGAAUGAAGCAGAGACCAUGGAGGAGUGCUGCUUACUCCCUGCUUUCCAAGGUUUGCUAGCCUGCCUUCUUACACAACCCGGGACCACUUGCUGAGGGGUGGCACUGCUCACAGAGUGGGCUGGACCUUCCCAGGUCAACCAUUAAUCAAGGAAAUGCCCUUCAGACUUGCCCACAGGCCAGUCUGAUGGAGGCAUUUUCUCAACUGAGGGUCCUCUUUCGAGGUGACUCUAGCUUGUGCCGGGUAGACAACAAACAAACAAAAACAACAAAACACCAGCACACUGGGUGUCUGAAUUGCAGCCAUAGGCAGAUGGCACAAUACAGAGAGUGCUAUUUUAAGGAAUAUGCUAGAUUCUUUACAUAUCAGAUAUCGGGCAUAUCAGAUACUUUAUGAUUCAUAAUAGCAAACUUACAGUUAUGAAGUAGCAAUGAAGUAAUUUUAUAGUUGGGGGUCACCACAGCAUGAGGAACUGUAUUACAGGGUCGCAGCAUUAGGAAGGUUGAGAACCAUGGUUCUAUAGUAUUUCAAUGUCUCUUACUGUUGUCUCACAGCUUGCUUCGUAUCUGAGCCUUCUGCAGAACAUUCAGUACUAUCGGUGACUACUGGGCAAUGAAAUCUUGUGUUAAAAUCACUGAAUUCCAAGUUAUAGUUAAUUUUCAUACUUCCUCUGAUUUAAAAUGGAUCUUCUGGGCAAAGGUACUAUAUGGGAGAGCAAAGUAAUCUAAUAGUGUUUCAGUCUGCAAAUAAUGGUAGUAACCACUGAAGAGCUUUGAGCCAGGAAGGAGGAUGCACACCCAGAAUAGGACCUGUUCUACCAGGUGAAUGGCUUCUCCCUCUGCAAUAUUUGAUGUGCAAUAGAAUGUCACCAGGUGGCCGGUUGGUCUCCUAAGAAAUACAGUUGAACAGGGAAUUAAAAUUUAACUGUUAUUGUUGAUGGCCUGUACACUUCAUAUGGGCAACAGUGAGAUCAGACUUUUUGAGACAAGUUCAUAUUAGUGAAACCAUUCAGAAUCCAUGCCAUUGGGGGCAUGGCUCUUUGUACAUGCGUCCAUUUGAAGAAGCCUUGAGGUGAUCACAGAGGAAGCCAACUAUCUACAAGAAAGGUUAUGUAAUCUACCUGAUUUAGAUUAAUUUUUGGUGUGAUUUCUUGUCUAGCUUAUAUGUUUAGAUGUGUAUUUUUAACUUUCUUGAUCGUGUCUCUCUCUGUAUCUGACUUCCAGUUCUUUUGAGAUCAGAAAAUUCACCUGUAAGAUUUCAUUCAUUUAAAUCUGUUAAGAAUUUUUCUUUAACAGUCCUGAAUAAAGCCCAUCAUAAGGAGUGUUCCAUGUGGUCUUGAAGAGAUGGCAUGUUCUGCAAUUGUUUGGUUUUAUAAUGGUUUCGGAUUAAACCGUCAACUAGAUCCCUGUCAGACAUAGUGUUAUCUACAACUUCAUUUUUGGUACUGAUAUUUUUAUUUAUGUCAACUAUGAAAAACUGUUAAGAUCAAUGAGGUUUAUGCCUUAUCUACUUCUUCCUUUAGUUGUUCAAGUUCUUGUUCCAUUUUAUUGCUCUGUAAUUGGGCAUGUGUACACUCAUGAUGGUUCUUUAUUUUACCCUUAUGAGGUGCCUCUGCCCUUGGUAAUAAUUUUACAAAGUAUGAUACUAAACUUGCCAUUCCAGCUUUCUUCUGUUCCUCUCUCUAGACAUGUCUAAUAAGUUGCAGUGAAAACUGGGCAUUAUUGGUACUCCAUUGCAGCAAUUCUGAGUCCUACUGUUUUCUCUGAUGACUAUCGGGUUUUGUUCUAGUAGACAAUUUACUUGUCUGGACUCACGUGUUAAAUUUCACUGUGUGUCUCCUGCAGUAGCUGAUAUCUCUGAUGAUUCUUUUUCUUCUCUUACCUUCCUCCAUCCAGCUUCUGUUAGUUUUGCACAUGUUCCUCGACUCCCCCAGGGUGUCUUUCCAGUAUUUGAGUGGAUUCGUGAUCACCUGAACACCUGAGCACGAACUCAAUCCAGUUUUCAGGAUUUUGUUUGAUUCUCUGUUUUCUUGUUCUUACAAGAAAUUUCUAGCUACUCUUCCACUUACAGCUGAUGUCCUGAUACUUCCACCAAGUCAGGCUUCAGCUUUGAGCUGCCUGAGCUGUGCCCACUUGGCACACACACAACAAAGCAGAAGUAUGAAUCUCACCCAGGGCAGUUUUGUCUUUCAAACAUAGCCCCUCUCUGAUGUGUGUCUGGGGUAUUGUUUCGGUUGUUGGCCAUCUAGCCUGGGGCAUUGCCAGUGAGUGAGUAGUUCAGCACUCAGCAGGGGAUGUGGCCAAAGUGCACACUGAAACAGAAUCUCGGUCACUCUGCUGCUCUCUGGCUUCUAGCAUUUUGCCAUCAUUUAUUUCCCAGUUCUCUUCUAGCAGCGAGCGAGAUGUGUCCUCAGCCAUCUCAUACUUAUUAACCCCCUUUUCUGCCUCAGUAGCUGUGACGAUUAAAGAAAAUAGUAAACCAGCAAAAACAAAAGCACAAUACGUCGCAUUUUAUUGUGGGCUGAAUCUGAAAUGUCCUUGUAGACUCCUGCAUUGAACGCUUGGUCCCCAUCUGGUGACAGUAUUUGGAUAGGUUCUGAAAACUUCGGAAUGAAGGGCCUACUUGGAGGAGGUAGGUAACUAGGAGCUGGCCUUUGGAAGUUAUACCUGGUCUCAAAUCCCUCCCUUGUUCUUCUUCUCUCAAGUGGUUUAUGUCUGUCACUCUGUCGCCAUGUAGAGAAAGUCAACUAGAACACAGUUUAUCAAGUAACUGCCUCCUUUAGAUUGCCUUUUGGUUCCUUUUUACAUUUGGCCAGAUUUUUUAAAGGCCAUCUGCAGAGAGUUUAAUUCGUGAGUCCACCCAGCUCUUACCAGAAACUGGAGUAUCAUUCAGGUACUCUAUAAUUACCAUCUGUUUCCUUUUUUUUUUUGUAGCACUGGCUGACCUGAAACUCAUUAUGUAGACCAGGCUGGCAAUGAACUCACAGGGAUCCUCUACCUUCUGAGUGCUGGGAUUAAAGCUGUGCAAUCCCAUGUGGGGCAUACAUGGGCUGCAAAGAGGGUGCCGAAAGAAAUUUAGAUAAAUAGAGCUUAAGCUUUAUGCUGUUUGUGCAGAAAAUAGAUACAAAGGAUGGCUAAAAGAAAGUUAGCUUGGGUUGUUUGUAUGGAGACUAAAGACAAAUAGUGAGAAAGGAAGUUAGCUCAAGUUAUUAUUAAGAUGAUGUCAGGGCAUAAACAACUUGUAAAUAGGGUGAUCUUUAAAAUGAUUGGUUGGUUCCUUCAUCCCCUCCUAGGGUUCUGAGGUUUUCUGGUAUAAACGAGACUUACUGCCUAUCAAUAAACGAGUUCUUGCUUGACUUGACUUCCCGCUGGGCCUGAUUGUCUCCAGGUUAAGAGGGAGGAUGGGGAACAGGAGAGCAGUGCGCACUUGCCUUUCCUUGGUUCCAGGCCAUUUCUUCACAGGUGACCUAAGUUCCUGGUGGGGUAGGUCCCCACAGCUGGCGCCCUAAAAUGUGGGGCUUGAAGUACUUCGGCCGAGGCCAAGCGGUCUUCCAGGGUAAGUGAAACCCUCAGUAUGGGUAAUGCCAUUUUUCCAAAAAAUCCCCAAGAGCCAGGGGAAGCCAGGGAAGGCAAAGAGGACCAGGAGGGUGAAGAGACCAAGUUUAAAGUCACCCCCUCUGCACCUUAUGAUUCAUAUGCCCCAAAGGAGCAGGGCCCCCUGACUUAUAUCCUUGAAACAGGGGAAUGCUCCUUGCCAUAUACCACCCUUAGAAGGGACCUAUGUGACUGGGGUACCUAUGACUGGCCAUCAGCCAGGGAUCGGGGAGCCAGUGGCACAGGGCCCCAAGAACAGCCCCUCCAGGCAUUUCCCAUUAAUCUGGCCCCCGGCCCUAAUAGGCCACAAGAAUGGUACCCAUGGGAGGCUAAAGACCUUAAGGAACUCCGCAAGGCAGUGGCAGAGGAUGGGCCGAAUGCCCCUUGGUCCCAGACCCUACUGCAAGAUAUUGCAUAUAAUCCUUGUGUCCCCAAGGAAUGGCUGGACCUGGCUAAGGCUGUCCUCUCAAGCACCCAAUAUAUCAAAUGGUGCGCACACUAUAAGGAGGAAUGUAGAGUCCGAGCAGAGGCCAAUCGAGCUGCUCAGCCCGCGAUCCCAAUUACUUACGGCAUGUUGGCAGGAACUGCUGACAGGUACUCUACUGGGGUCCAGCAGGCCACGGUCCCAGCGCCAUACCGAGACCAGGUGCGACAGGCAGGACUAGCAGCCUGGGGAAAGCCAGAUGAAGGGCCUACAGAAUCCCCCAUAGCUGGAGUUAGGCACAAGCCCAAUGAGACCCUACCAGAAUUUAUAGACCGGGUCCAACAAAGCAUUAAUCGCAAACUACCAACUGGACCCCUCUAGGACCAAUUUAUAAAGAUUCUGGUCUGGGAUGGAAUGAAUGCAGAACACAUGCUGCCUGUGCAGGGCUGAAAGAGACUUCCAUGGGCUGGUAGGUGGUAGCCACACAAGAUCUAGGCACCCAGCAUCACCAGAACCAGACGCUGGCCUUAGCGUUGCAAUCCCAGAUGGCUGCCCUGACUGAGGCUUUUUCACGGGCCCUGGUAACCCAGAGUCAGGGGACUGCGAAGCCUACAACCCAGGGGGCCUGCUUUAAAUGAGGGCAGGAGGGACAUUUUAAGCUAGAGUGUCCUCUGCAACAGCCUCCCAAUGGCCAAAAAAAAGGCCUUAGGUCGGUCAGGAGAAAUAAAGCACCCCACCACCCCCUGUCCUAGGUGUCAGAAGGGAUAUCAUUGGAGAAAAGACUGUAGAUCAAAGUUUGAUUUUGAUGGGAAGCCUUUAAACUAGAACAGGGACACCCUCUAGCCCGGUCAACUAAAGGAGUAGCCCCCCUUAAGAAGGGGCAGGCACGGCCCUCCAGAGUGGCCCAUGCCGACUGGACCGUUCCCUUGACUCCAGGUCACCGCCCCAAGAUGAGUGUUGUUAUAGGUGGAAAAAGGUUCCACUUUCUAGUAGAUACAGGAGCUGACAGGACAGUAAUCCCCUGGGAGGAGGUGCCCCCUCAUUGGGAUUUAGCAGCUAGACCCCAAAUACUUGCCUUUCCUCGGUUCCAGGCCACCUCUUCACAGGUGACCUAAGUUCCCAGUGGGGUAGGUCCCCACAAUCCCAUGCCUGGUUAGCACUUCUGUUUUAUUCACGUACCAUGCAGGUAGAAGAAUAGGCAGAUAAUGAUUUCAGUUGUAUAUUUAUGCAUAUUUAAUAGCUGAUAAAACCACACAUUGGUAAUUGCUGUUUUCUGUCUGCUUCCCUUAUUAUCCCAUAAACUUUGAGAGUUUUCCAAAGUAUGUGAUUUACUUUUUACUAUACACAUGCACAUCAUAAAGGAAUAUUAAAAAAAAAACCUGAAGCUUUGAUUCCAUGACAGUGGAGAUAUCAAAUUUCCAUAGCAUCAUGCUAGAAAUGUUAGUGUACCAGUUAAUCAACUGGCAGGUAGUGUGAUCAUCUGAAAUAUACACAGCUGUCAGUGACUGGGAAACAAAAGUUACAGAGUGAUGAUGGUAAUAGGGCAGAGUUAAAGUUCAUGCACAUCACAUAUGGCACAUUAAUAAACCAGUUUAGAUUACAAUCUACUACCGGUCCUAACUUUCUCCAGUUUGUUUUCAUUUCUUUGAGACAGAGUCUUGCCUUUGCAGAUGUGGGCUGGACUGGAACUCACAAGAUAGUUCAGCCUGACCCUGACUCACAGCCACCCUCUUCCCUCGAGCUCUGGAGUGCUGGGAUUGCAGGAGACAGCCACUAUACUUGGCUUUUCUAGCAUUUCUGAAAACAAUAUGGUAACUAUUCAAAUUCAACACAAAUAGGGCCAUAGUUGAAAAAGAAAAACGCUUUAAAUGAAAAUUUUCCUAAUGGCUCAUAGAACACAAUGAAGGAACAGUUGUCUGGAUGCUACACGCUUAAAGAUAAGAUUCUAAAAUGAUUACAAGGAUUGCAGAGACCGUUUGACAGUCCAAGAAAAGACACACGCGAGGAGAACCAUGUUCUGAGCCAUCCUUUCUAAACAAAGAAGACCUUGGAAUAAGAUCUGGAUCGUCUGGUGGUCCGUAUUGGCCGAGUCAGAUGAGGAGCAGCUGCCUUUACAGACUGUUGGCUCUGAAGGGAACCUUGUCCACAGGCUGAAAGGUGGAGGUCAGAGGAAGCUUAGGGUUACAGGAGUGCUGGAUGGGAUUUGAAGAGCAGAAUGCAGAUGUGAGCUGCUGCCUCUGCAGCUUACCUGCCUCAAAGUUUGCCAAAUCAUAAUGCUGGUUGCAAUCAUAUUCUGGUAAAACUGUUAGGCUAAGUGGAGUUUCAUGUUGAUUUAGAACAACAUAGCUUGUGAGGAAAUUUACAUUUCAGUACAUAAAUACCUUUUUAGUUUUAAUUAAUUUCAGAUUAGGAAAAUACAUGUGUGUGUAUGUGUGUAUAUGACCCAAAGUGUCCAAAAGAGAACACUUACCCUAUUAGUAAUAUCACUCUAUCUUUACUCACGUCUUUUAUUAAUGUUUCUGUGUGGAAGUUACUUGAGAGUAACUUGGAGAUCUGCCACCUUCUCCAUAAAUCCUUCCAUGUAUAUUUUGUAAACACAAAGACAGCCUACACAACCCUGGUACAAGUCUCAAAAUUAGAAAAUUAACCUUGAGCAACUAUGCACCUAAUCCAUAGCUUUUGUUUAUCUCAUCCAUUGUCUCACUAAUGCCCAUUUUAGUAAAUGGAUAAAAAGGAAAAAAAAAAAGGCUACUUCAGGAACAAUUCCAGAAUCAUAUUUUGUGUUUCUUUGUCUUAUCUCUUGAAUCUCUCUUAAUCAUCAAUUGCCUUUCUUUACAUCGGUUUCCUAUUUCAGUCAUAAAAAUUAUCAUAAUUUUAGUAUCUACAGGGCACAGGGAUGACUCGGUUGGCAAAAGCUUCUGCUGCCAAGCCUGAUGGCCCGGGUUUGAUACCCAGGUUCUCCAACGGUGGAGGGAGAAAAACACACGUUGUUCUCUGACCUCCACAAGCGUACACACUCCAAAUAAAAUAAGCAAAUGUGAAAAACCACAUUCAUUACCUCAAUGUUCUGGAGGUUAAAAGUCCACAUUUAUUCUCAAUAGUCAAAGUCAAGGUGUUUGGUGUGUGUUGGGGGUGGGGAGCUGUUUCUUCUGUGGAGGUUCUUGGAAAAGAAUCUGUUUCCUCAUCUUUUUCCGUUUUCAGAGCCUGCUUAUGCUCUUUGUUGGAUAACCACCUUGCUUGCUUCCCUUUAACCCGGUACUUGCCGCUGUUACAACCCUGGUUCCCCUGCCUCCUGCUUACAAGCACUGUAGUGAUCAAACCGGACCUGCCUGGAUGAUCCAGGAUCAUCUUCUUCUCCAGGUCCUCAGCAUAAUCACCUUUAUCGUGGAAGGUGAAGUAUGCACAGCUUGUGGGGGGAUUAGGCAAUGGGCGGGUCAGAGGAUUAGUCAGCCCACCACAGUGUUCCUUAGCUAGGAUGUUUCUCAAAGUCACUGUAAAUCCUGUUGAGAAGAAGGUGGAGGGGAAUGAAGAGAGACAGCUGGGUGAUAGUGAGGAGGAAGUGUUAAGAGGCUCAGGAGAGAAAGGAGACAGGGAAGAGCAGCUAGCUGCUAAUUUGGAUUUUUGCUUUAUGUCUGGGUCCCCUUCUUCAUGAAAGGAAGAUAACGUGUCUUUCUGGACCUUCAUUUUAAGUGAUUAAAUGUAGCAGAAAAAGCUUGAGACCUUUGGUAGGAGACUGUUACAGAAAAUGAAUUCUGCUUCCCUAAAUUCUAGUGUAUUGAUUACUUCCUUUCGGAGAAUAGAUGCAGCACAUCCCUCUGGAUCGUCCCUGCAAGGAGAUAAGCCUCAGCACUUCCUGCACAAUUCUUUGCAAGAAAGCAAUUGAUUGGCUUUAUGUGAAGCUCAGAAAGAAGGUCACUUGUCACUUCUCCAGGCUGGCCAGCAGGAAGCAAUUACGGCCACACUUCCAUGUACCACAUGCACAUCUGAUGUUCGCCUUGGUCCACAGGAUGUCCUUAAUUCUGCUUAGGGCUUCAUAGUCUGUGCCAUAACUGUUACCAUAGUGAUGCUGUAGCAAUAACAGGAAAAAUAUACUCUUGGCAUUAACAAAGGUUUAGAAUCUGAGCUGAGCUGGACCUGAUGGUUAAACAAUGGUAGAACCAUUGAUUGACACCCAUCAACAAGACAGAGUAAGAGGCACAUGAAAGGGGAAGUGAGCUCAGAUCUCAGCACAGUUUCCGGCACCUUGGUGGAUAAUAGCAUUUAUCUUGGAUGGUACAGCGAAACGCGCACACAGAUGAUGCAAUAUUCUUUUCUCUCCUUCCUUUCUUUUCACCGUGUGUCUAUCUCAUAGUUGCCUUCUUUAAAAAAAAAAAAAUCAAACACAUCUCAAAAGUGUCUCAUUUCUUGUGAUCCCUCAUGUCAGGUGAAACCAUCAGUUCCUCAGAUGAAUUCCAGAUGGGUUGCGUCUUAGUCCAUUUUGUACAGCUAUGACAGGACACUGGAGAGUCGGCAGUUUAUAAAGUAGAGAGUUCCUUCUUACAGUUCCGGAGGCUGGGAAGUCCACGAAGAAAGAACUUGCAUCUGGCAAUAGUCUUCUGCUGUGUCAUCUCAUGAUGGAAAGCAGAGGGGAAAGAAUUAGAUAAUAUGAAGAUACCACGCACUUUGAUUGUAAGACACAGAGAAAACAAUUUAGACCUGAGCUGCAAACUUCCUUCUUGUUGGCUGGAUUUCAUAUGGCUGGAAGGUGCUACAUAGACUGCUGGAAGAGACAAAGCAUCAAGUCUUAACCAACUCAGAGCCCUACAAACUUCAAUUCUAACCUGCCAGGCAAGAUAUACCCAUGGAUGUAGUGGUGGCAUGACUGUGAAGAUAAUCAAUCCCUCUCUGAUGGGAUUCAGGACCUGCUCCAUAGGAAGGAAUCCGUGCAUGGUACUGUAAACCUGGCCAAAAGCAUAAGGUCAGGGAAGUCAUAGGCCCUAAUAAGGAGCUAACAAUUACUGUUUAGUUAAAUUUAUAUAACGUUAAGCUGCCUUCUAAAUAACUGUUUUUACCCACAGACAAAUUCUACUCUCAGCUUCAAUGAGAGAAGCCUGUCUUUGAAAUGAAUGGUUGUGAACAGAGAGACUCAUGCUGUUUAAGUUACUAAGAAUAAAUAAUGGUUGAAUGCUCACCCUAAACAAGGCAUUUAAAACACUUCCUCUAAGACUCAAGGAAUAUUAUGGAAGAGGAAGCGCAAAGAAUGUAUGAGCCAGAUGGGAAGAAGGACUUCAAAAUGUUACCUUCUGGCAUGACAAAGCCAUUUCAAUCUUGAACUCACAGGACCUCUGCUUACCUGUACUGGUCCUAUACAAGACCGGCUCUGCCAUGGAUGUGGGAGGUGCUCAUGCACUUCUACCCCUCUCUGCUAAAUUAUUGUCUAGUGAAAAAUUCUGAGAGGGGGGAGUCGUUGUCCUCAGUUGUGUAUAUACUAGGGAACCUAUCAA